CAGCCGCCGCGGGAAAACAGAGGGUGCGAGCGUUAAUCGGAUUUACUGGGCGUAAAGCGUGCGUAGGCGGCUUCUUAAGUCGGAUGUGAAAUCCCUGAGCUUAACUUAGGAAUUGCAUUCGAUACUGGGAAGCUAGAGUAUGGGAGAGGAUGGUAGAAUUCCAGGUGUAGCGGUGAAAUGCGUAGAGAUAUGGAGGAAUACCGAUGGCGAAGGCAGCCAUCUGGCCUAGUACUGACGCUGAGGUACGAAAGCAUGGGGAGCAAACAGGAUUAGAGACCCGCGUAGUCCCUGUCUCUUAUAC
This 301-nucleotide ribosomal RNA is filed under the name uncultured bacterium. RNAcentral describes it as "partial 16S ribosomal RNA". It matches the Rfam family "Bacterial small subunit ribosomal RNA", at positions 509 to 807 of the family's 1533-position model. The record is from RNAcentral.